This is a long non-coding RNA of Lactuca sativa (garden lettuce), 1455 nucleotides long. RefSeq lists it as uncharacterized. The record is from RefSeq and is a predicted model, not a curated record. Lineage: Eukaryota; Viridiplantae; Streptophyta; Magnoliopsida; Asterales; Asteraceae.
CUCUCUAGAAAUCACACAAACAUCACUUAAAACUCAACCAAUUUUAAGCACUCUUUCCUUCUUUGUGAUCCACCAAAACCAAAGGCCAAAAAUAAGGUUGUUGCCUUCGGGUUUUCAUCCUCCAUUUUAGCCCCUUGCACCUUCAUUUUGCUUGGUAUUUUCACCUACAUUUACGUCUGAAUGUUAGUUGAUUUGGUGCAUUAAAAUGGGUACUCAAAACAAUAGCUAGGCUGUUCUUUUUCUUGCUUCUUUGCUGGAAAUUCUGAGCCAUACACAACCAAAACAGUGGCUGUUUUCAAGCACCAAAAUAACCCAAAAACAUCUUCAUUUUUCUGCCCAUUUUCGAGAUCUAAACAUCCCCAUAACAUGCUGAUUUCAAGUGUCUAUAAACCCAAGAAAACCUUCAUCGUGUUCCUUAAAAUCAUUGUAUCUCAACACUCUUUUUGGUAACACACGUCUAGAUCCAAGAAUAAGCAAGACAUCCCAAAAAUCAUUCAAAUCUCAAGCUUCGUUGGAACCGGAAACUUCAAGGAUCUUUCUAAUAACGUUACGCGACAAAAGGAAAUAGAAGCUGGAUAAUAAGCCUCACGACUUGGAAUAACCUUUCUUGGCUAACCUAUUAAGGCCUUUUUGUUUUUGUUACAUUAUGACUUGCUAAACUUUUUUUUGUAAACUUGUAUUUUGAAGUUUGAAUCAAUGAAAUCCUUGUAUACAAAUCUAUGAAGACAUGUAAUGUUAUUCAAAUCUUGUAUUGUUCAAUGUAUUUUUGUUAACUGUGAUCUAAUUUUCAAGGUCGCAACCUCGGUGCGUCCACCGCUGGCCAGGGUGUGACAUCAACUCACAAGGUUCAGAUGGAAACCAAGAUGAAGAUAAAUAUGUUGAAGGGUUAAUGGACUUAAAUAAGUAGACGAUGACACUGAAUAAAAUUGAAGCUGAAAUCAUCCCAUAACUCGAUUGGGUUACAAGAAUCGGAGCUAAAAUCAAUACUGAAUCAAGAAGAUAGUGUGUGUGUAUGUGUAUGUUAUGUUAUUGGUUCACCGAAAUCCAUUAUUCCUCUCUUCUACCAGAAUCAGAGCUGAUCUAAUUCACAUUUCAAAGAGUAAUGAAGUGAAGAAGGUGAUGUUGCGUUGAUGAACAAGUAUGGUCAAGGUUAUGAUGAACAACCAAAGGCGAUGAUGGUGAUGGUAAUUGGUGGUGGCAGAGGGUGAUGUUCAUAAAGACGUUCUUAUGUGUGUGGUUUUUCAAGAUCUUACUGAGUGUGUAUGUAUGUGUGUUCAUAAAGAACAAAUCCAAAUGGGUGGAGAUAGAUAGAUAGAUAGAUAGAUAGAUAGAUAUAUAGAUAAAGAGAGAGAAAGAAAGAAAGAAAGAGAAAGAGAGAGAAAGACCCCCUUCUUUCUACUAUCUAUUAAAUAUUAUAAAAAUAUUACAAAAAUUAUUUAAAUAACAAAAAUGAAU